GUACUUCAGAAGCACAUAUACUAAAAUUGAAAUACUCCAGAGAUAUUAGCACGGCCCAUGUACAAGGAUGGCACAUAAAUCAAACAAGACCAAAUAUUA
This 99-nucleotide small nuclear RNA is filed under the name Nannospalax galili (Upper Galilee mountains blind mole rat). The record is from RNAcentral. Lineage: Eukaryota; Metazoa; Chordata; Mammalia; Rodentia; Spalacidae.